Molecule: ribosomal RNA, 497 nt
Filed under: Oxyrrhis marina
Lineage: Eukaryota; Dinophyceae; Oxyrrhinales; Oxyrrhinaceae
Description: partial Bacterial large subunit ribosomal RNA
Rfam family: Bacterial large subunit ribosomal RNA
Source: RNAcentral
GUAAGUUCCGACCUGCACGAAUGGUGUAACGAUCUGGGCACUGUCUCGGCCACGAGCUCGGUGAAAUUGAAGUAUCGGUGAAGAUGCCGAUUACCCGCAGCGGGACGAAAAGACCCCGUGAACCUUUACUGUAGCUUGACAUUGGGUUUUGAGUAAUAUUGCGUAGGAUAGGUGGGAGAUGUUGAUGCGUGCAUUCCGGUGUACGUGGAGUCGUCCUUGAAAUACCACCCUAUAUUACUUGAAAUCCUAACCUACUGUCGUUAUCCGGCAGGGGGACAAUGUCUGGUGGGCAGUUUGACUGGGGCGGUCGCCUCCUAAAGAGUAACGGAGGCGCGCGAAGGUACCCUCAGCCAGUAUGGAAACCUGGCGUAGAGUGUAAGCGCAUAAGGGUGCCUGACUGCAACACAAACAAGUGGAGCAGAGUCGAAAGACGGCGCUAGUGAUCCGGUGGUUCCGAGUGGAAGGGCCAUCGCUCAACGGAUAAAAGGUACACCGGG